Molecule: ribosomal RNA, 496 nt
Filed under: uncultured organism
Description: SSU rRNA
Rfam family: Bacterial small subunit ribosomal RNA
Source: RNAcentral
UCCUGGCUCAGGAUGAACGCUGGCGGCGUGCCUAACACAUGCAAGUCGAACGAAGCACUUCUGAUCGGAGAUUCGUCGAAGAUUGGAUUUGACUUAGUGGCGGACGGGUGAGUAAUGCGUGAGCAACCUGCCUUUCAGAGGGGGACAACAGUUGGAAACGACUGCUAAUACCGCAUAACGUAUACGGGUGGCAUCAUCUGUAUACCAAAGGAGCAAUCCGCUGAAAGAUGGGCUCACGUCUGAUUAGCUUGUUGUGGGGUAACGGCCCACCAAGGCUGCGAUCAGUAGCCGGACUGAGAGGUUGAACGGCCACAUUGGGACUGAGAUACGGCCCAGACUCCUACGGGAGGCAGCAGUGGGGAAUAUUGGGCAAUGGGCGCAAGCCUGACCCAGCAACGCCGCGUGAAGGAAGAAGGCUUUCGGGUUGUAAACUUCUUUUAUGAGGAACGAAGGACGUGACGGUACCUCAUGAAUAAGCCACGGCUAACUACGUGCC